Molecule: ribosomal RNA, 403 nt
Filed under: Verrucomicrobiota bacterium
Lineage: Bacteria; Pseudomonadati; Verrucomicrobiota
Description: Verrucomicrobia bacterium partial 16S ribosomal RNA
Rfam family: Bacterial small subunit ribosomal RNA
Source: RNAcentral
UGGGGAAUAUUGCACAAUGGGCGCAAGCCUGAUGCAGCCACGCCGCGUGAACGAUGAAGGUCUUCGGAUCGUAAAGUUCUGUUGCAGGGGAAGAUAAUGACGGUACUCUGUGAGGAAGCCCCGGCUCACUACGUGACCGCAGCCGCGGUAAUACGUAGGGGGCUCGCGUUAUCCGGAUUUACUGGGCGUAAAGGGUGCGUAGGUGGUCUUUCAAGUCGGUGGUUAAAGGCUACGGCUCAACCGUAGUUAGCCUCCGAAACUGGAAGACUUGAGUGCAGGAGAGGAAAGUGGAAUUCCCAGUGUAGCGGUGAAAUGCGUAGAUAUUGGGAGGAACACCAGUAGCGAAGGCGGCUUUCUGGACUGCAACUGACACUGAGGCACGAAAGCGUGGGUAGCAAACAGG